AGAUUGAACGCUGGCGGCAUGCCUAACACAUGCAAGUCGAACGGGAGUAGCAAUACUCUAGUGGCGGACGGGUGAGGAAUACGUAGGAAUUUGCCCUUAAGUGGGGGAUAACCCGGGGAAACCCGGAUUAAUACCGCAUGACCUCGAAAGAGCAAAGUGGGGGAUCGCAAGACCUCACGCUUUUGGAGAAGCCUACGUCGGAUUAGCUAGUUGGUGAGGUAAUGGCUCACCAAGGCGACGAUCCGUAACUGGUCUGAGAGGAUGAUCAGUCACACCGGAACUGAGACACGGUCCGGACUCCUACGGGAGGCAGCAGUGGGGAAUAUUGGACAAUGGGCGCAAGCCUGAUCCAGCAAUGCCGCGUGUGUGAAGAAGGCCUCGGUUGUAAAGACACUUAAGUUAGGUAAGGAAAAA
This 414-nucleotide ribosomal RNA is filed under the name uncultured soil bacterium. Its description in RNAcentral is "bacterial SSU rRNA". It matches the Rfam family "Bacterial small subunit ribosomal RNA", at positions 26 to 453 of the family's 1533-position model. The record is from RNAcentral.